This 497-nucleotide ribosomal RNA is filed under the name uncultured bacterium. Its description in RNAcentral is "partial 16S ribosomal RNA". It matches the Rfam family "Bacterial small subunit ribosomal RNA", at positions 28 to 507 of the family's 1533-position model. The record is from RNAcentral.
GAUGAACGCUGGCGGCGUGCCUAAUACAUGCAAGUCGAGCGAACAGACGAGGAGCUUGCUCCUCUGACGUUAGCGGCGGACGGGUGAGUAACACGUGGAUAACCUACCUAUAAGACUGGGAUAACUUCGGGAAACCGGAGCUAAUACCGGGUAACAUGUUGAACCGCAUGGUUCAACAGUGAAAGACGGUCUUGCUGUCACUUAUAGAUGGAUCCGCGCCGCAUUAGCUAGUUGGUAAGGUAACGGCUUACCAAGGCAACGAUGCGUAGCCGACCUGAGAGGGUGAUCGGCCACACUGGAACUGAGACACGGUCCAGACUCCUACGGGAGGCAGCAGUAGGGAAUCUUCCGCAAUGGGCGAAAGCCUGACGGAGCAACGCCGCGUGAGUGAAGAAGGUCUUCGGAUCGUAAAACUCUGUUAUUAGGGAAGAACAAAUGUGUAAGUAACUAUGCACGUCUUGACGGUACCUAAUCAGAAAGCCACGGCUAACUACGUG